This 783-nucleotide ribosomal RNA is filed under the name uncultured bacterium. Its description in RNAcentral is "bacterial SSU rRNA". It matches the Rfam family "Bacterial small subunit ribosomal RNA", at positions 669 to 1451 of the family's 1533-position model. The record is from RNAcentral.
CCANGUGUAGCGGUGAAAUGCGUAGAUAUAUGGAGGAACNCCAGUGGCGAAAGCGGCUCUCUGGUCUGUCACUGACGCUGAGGCUCGAAAGCGUGGGUAGCGANCAGGAUUAGAUACCCUGGUAGUCCACGCCGUAAACGAUGAGUGCUAGGUGUUAGGCCCUUUCCGGGGCUUAGUGCCGGAGCUAACGCAAUAAGCACUCCGCCUGGGGAGUACGACCGCAAGGUUGAAACUCAAAGGAAUUGACGGGGGCCCGCACAAGCGGUGGAGCAUGUGGUUUAAUUCGAAGCAACGCGAAGAACCUUACCAGGUCUUGACAUCCCGAUGCUAUUCUUAGAGAUAGGAAGUUACUUCGGUACAUCGGAGACAGGUGGUGCAUGGUUGUCGUCAGCUCGUGUCGUGAGAUGUUGGGUUAAGUCCCGCAACGAGCGCAACCCUUAUUGUUAGUUGCCAUCAUUAAGUUGGGCACUCUAGCGAGACUGCCGGUAAUAAACCGGAGGAAGGUGGGGAUGACGUCAAAUCAUCAUGCCCCUUAUGACCUGGGCUACACACGUGCUACAAUGGUCGGUACAACGAGUUGCGAGCCGGUGACGGCAAGCUAAUCUCUGAAAGCCGAUCUCAGUUCGGAUUGGAGGCUGCAACUCGCCUCCAUGAAGUCGGAAUCGCUAGUAAUCGCGGAUCAGCACGCCGCGGUGAAUACGUUCCCGGGCCUUGUACACACCGCCCGUCACACCACGAGAGUUUGUAACACCCGAAGUCGGUGAGGUAACCUUUUAGGGNCCA